This 111-nucleotide non-coding RNA is filed under the name human gut metagenome. RNAcentral's name for it is "yjdF RNA". It matches the Rfam family "azaaromatic riboswitch aptamer (yjdF RNA)". The record is from RNAcentral.
CGCAAAGAUAAAAACACAGCGCGCUUUUCGAGCGCGGUUCCGGUCGGUAGUCCGGACGUAUCCCCUCGGAUAUAAGUAACCCUCCUCCUUGGUCGUCCCUUCUUUGUGAAU